AAGUCUAGCGGCAUUUCGUCUGCCUUGAUGUUCUGAGUUCAAAUUCCGCCGAGGUCGACUUUGUCUUUAAUUCUUUCAGGAUCGAUAAAUUAAGUACUAGUUGUGUACUGGGGUCGAUGUUAUAUAGGUACAUUAUUUUAAACGGAAAGCUGGCAGAAUCGUUAGAGCGUCGGACAAAAUGCGUAGCCACAUUUCGUCCGUCUUUAAGUUCUGCUCAGCUGGGAAUUGGUGCCACCCGAGUAAUGGCACUCCUCUUUCUAUCACUUCUUCCAGUUGUCAUAUACAAAGUGCCGCUGGGUCAAACGGUGAGACACUGGAGAAUUGAGUGUGAAAGUGCCGCUGGGUCAAACAGUGAGACGCGUGAGAGUUGAGGGAGCAAGUGCCGCUGGGUCAAACAGUGAGGCACGUGAGAGUAGAGGGAGCAAGUACCACUGGGUUACACUGUGAGGCACGUGAAAGUAGAGCGAGUAAGUGCCAUUGGGUCACACAGUGAGGCACGUGAGAGUUGAACAAGUGCUCGGUCAGUGAGGCACAUGAGAGAUGAGCGAGCAAGUGCCGCUGGGUCAAACAGCGAGGCACGUGAAAGUAGAGGGAGCAAGUUCCACUGGGUCACACAGUGAGGCACGUGAAAGUAGAGGGAGCAAGUGCCACUGGGUCACACUGUGAGGCACGUGGGAGUUGAACAAGUGCUCGGUCAAACAGUGAGGCACAUGAGAGUAGAGAGUAGAGCGAGCAAGUGCCGCUGGGUCAAACAGCGAAGUACGUGAGAGUUGAGCGAGAAAGUGCCGCUGGAUCAAAUAGCGAGGCACGUGAGAGUAGAGCGAGAAAGUGCCGCUGGAUCAAAUAGCGAGGCACGUGAGAGUAGAGCGAGCAAGUGCCGAUGGGUCAAACAGUGAGGCACAUGAAAGUAGAGCAAGCAAAUGCCGCUGGAUCAAAUUCCGCCGCGGUCGGCAUUGCUUUUCAUCCUUUCAGGGUUGAUAAAGUGAGUACCAGUUAUGUACUGGGGUCGACCUCAUUGACUUUCCUCUUCUGCCAAGUUUUAGGUAUUGCACCAACAACAGAAAUUGUUAUCAUUAUUUCAUAUACGCAGGCAGUCUUUUUAAAUACAUACCAGCGAUUAUCUGGGGGAGUUUGAUAAAAUCAACUAUGCCCGCCCUCAAAUAUUAUAUGGUAUUGUAACUACUCUAGGCCGACUGUGAAUGCAACAUGGUCGAGUGGUUAAAAUGCUUGCCUGUGUUAAUCACACGGAAAUGGGUUCGAUUCCGUUCGGCGUCAUUAACCAAGUCCUCAGCUGCCCCAGAGUUUUGUAAGUGAACUCAGAUGGAGAGAAAAGAAACUGUGCGGAAACCCACUGAAGGCAUUGUAACUAAAGUUAAGAAAUACCUUGUGGUAUUUAUAUCGGUUCUUUGCGGUAUUUUUCAAAAUCCCAUCGAGGUCAACUGUACUGUUUUAACCGUUUGGGGGUUGACAAAAUGAAGUACCAGUCAAAAACUUGGGUCGAUCGAUCGUCUUAAUCCUUUCCCUCAAAACUGCUGGCUCUAUGCUUAAAUCAGAAACCAUCAUCAUUAUCAUUUGGUUAAUUAUAAAUCAGUAUUAUUUAAAAUAGGUAUAAUUUUCUAUAUACAUAAAAGGCCAAGUCGUGUUUUUUUUUGUUUUUUUUUAUUGGUGAAAGGAGAAUGCUAUGAUUGUAGCUGUGUUGAGAGAGAGAGAUAGUUAUAUGGGGUGGAUUAUACAAAUAGAUAGGAAAGACUGUCAGAAAGCUACGGUGGAGUAGAUAAAUAGAUAGACAAAAGACUGACAGAGCGGCAGGGAAAGAAAGAGGCAGAGAAAAAUAUUCGUCGGUCAAUCAGUAAGCAUGAUAGCUAGUAGUCAUAUGAGCAGGGAAAACAAAAAGGCAAGAAAAUGGAGCAAGGCUUGAGCAGAGAGAUUAUAAUUAUAAUUACUACAAGGUUAAACAAACCCCAUCGUUUUUGACGGAUACUACGCCAAUAUUAUUAAUGACAAAAUGUUAAAUAGACAACAGAAAUAAUCCAAGUUAAUAGAAUAGCUAGGAAUACUUAAAUUAGUGUACUUGGUAAGUCGAAGAAUUGUCUAAAGAGCCUUUUUAUUUUCCUAAAGCUAGGCCUUCUAUUAUGGGUGUGUAUUCCGUGUAAAAUGCUAAUGCAGGAGGGGGUGGGGAAUUAAAACAAUAAAAGGUGAUAUGAAUGAGAGACAGAUGUAAAAGAUAUUGUUUUACUUUACGUGCUUCAUAUAAUAAACUUGUAAUAUUUCGGGUUAAGUUCCUCUUUUCAAAUAAAAUAAAGUUGAAAGCGAAACACUCCAGCUUGUUUUAUUAUCGAUUACAAAAACAACAACAAUAAUAGCUUCUAAUGAUAAUAAUUGUUUCUAAGAUGGCGAUGACGUUUAUUUCUUUAAUAAUAAUAAUAAUAAUAAGCUUUAUCGUAAGCAGAUCUGAGAUUUGAUUGGGACGAUGGAAGGGAACAGCCGAUUAUGUCGUCGACCCCGGAAGAACAAGAAGGAAAUCAGACCUUGCUAUGAUUUGAACAUAAAACAUUAAGGGUCCAUGAUAUAAACAAAUACUAAAAAGACAAUUUGUUCAACGCGCUUAUAUUUUCCUGCCACUGCAACCACAGGCCACUAGCAGCAGCAGUAGUAGUAGUUACAGGGACAGCAUUUGCGAUUAUAUAUGGUCUUGUGGAGUGACACUUUGUGUAGUCACGUGAUAUGAGUGAGUGGCUCAGAGUCAGCUCACUUCGCAACCACGAAGUACCGGGUUCGCUCCUAACCCCAUUACACUUUCAGGAACUAUCUCCCUCUUAUGUCAGCGUCAAACCGUUCCGAGUUCAAAUCGGGCAAACGGUAGCUGUUAAAAAUGUGGGACUACAUCAGAAUGAAUAUUUUGUUUUAAAUUCAAGUGAUUGUGGGAAUUCUGUGGGAAAAAAUGUGUUCCAUUAUAGCCACGAGCAGCUGCAAGCUUUCUUCACAAUGCCGCGGUUUCGAUUCCUGGGACGGGCGAUGCGUUGCCAAGUACUUUGGGCAUUCGUCUAGCGAUCACAAUGUGGAGGAUUUUGAUACUUCAGCCGGAUGGUACGUUGUGUCCUUGAGCAAGUAUUUCAUUUCACGCUGCUCAGCUGGAAAUGAACGCCAGCCAAGUAAUAGUACUGCUCUUUCUCUCUCUUCUUCCAGCUGUCAUUUACAAAGUGCCGCUGGGUCAAACGGUGAGACACUGAAGAGCAGAGCAUGAAAGUGCCCCACAGUCAAACAGCGAGGCACGUGAGAGUAUACUGUGAAAUUACCCCUGGGUCAAACAGUAAGACGCGUGAGAGCGCUGCUAGAUCAAACAGUGAGGCACACAAGGGUAGAACGUGAAAGUGCCGCUGGGUCAAAGAGCGAGUCACGUGAGAGUAGAGCGAGCAAGUGCCGUUGGGUCAAAGUUGCGAGGUACGUGAGAAUAGACUGUGAAAUUACCCCUGGGCCGAACAGUAAGACGCGUGAGAGCGCUGCUUGAUCAAACAGUGAGGCACACAAGGGUAGAACGUGAAAGUGCCGCUGGGUCAAAGAGCGAGUCACGUGAGAGUAGAGCGAGCAAGUGCCGUUGGGUCAAAGCAGCGAGGCACGUGAGAAAAGAACGCGAAAGUUCCGCUCGGUCUAACGGUAAGACUAUACCGUUUGACCGAGCGUGCUCGCGACUACACAAGCACCUGUAAAAAUUACAGAAAGCAUUGUACUAGUUACAAAGCCAUAUGUAGACGCGGGUGACAGCUGGCUUGCUUGCGCUUCUUUUGAUGAAUAGCGAACCAUUUCAAAAGCUAAAUGUGUCGCUAUCGUAAAUGAUAAAAUUGAACAAUGAAAGAUAAUUGAAGAGGAAAGAAAUUAUGGAAUUUUGACAGGAAACGAAUCGAAGUGAACUAUUAGCAAAUGAGUAAAUGGCGUAUUUAUAAAUGAAUUCCGCAUUUGGGGUAGUUUGGUGACCGUUUGUUUAUGUUCUUGAUGUGACAUUUACACUGAACAUACAAAAAUCGGCUUUCCGUUAGUUAUGACGGCGAGAGUUGCUGUUGAUUCGAUCAACGAAACAGCCUGCUCGUGAAAUUAACGUGCAAGUGGCUGAGUACACCAUAGACACUCAUACCUUAACGUGGCUUUAAGGGGUCUAGCCCGGCUCCAUAUUGGUUACCAUAAUGAGGGUUGCUAUUGAUUCGAUCAACGAAACAGCCUGCUCGUGAAAUUAACGUGCAAGUGGCCGAGUACUCCGCAGACACGUGUAUCGUUAAUGUAGUUCUCGGGGAGAUUCAGCGUGACACAGAAUAUGCCAAGGCUGGCCCCUUGUGAAUUACAAGUACAACACGUUUUUGCCAGGUGAGUGGAGUGGAGCAACGUGAAAUAAAGGGUCUUGCUCAAGGACUGAUCGCGUCGCCUGGCAUCGAACUCUUCAAAAGGGCCGUGGAUAUAUUUCUCUUUUUGUCUUUAAAUCGACGGGAACGAAAUAGCUUGGUUGUAAGUCGAAAAAAAAAUGGUGGUUUAGAACGAC
This is a long non-coding RNA of Octopus sinensis (East Asian common octopus), 4528 nucleotides long. RefSeq lists it as uncharacterized. The record is from RefSeq and is a predicted model, not a curated record. The transcript is spliced from 2 exons. NCBI's taxonomy places the organism in Eukaryota, Metazoa, Mollusca, Cephalopoda, Octopoda, Octopodidae.